This 609-nucleotide ribosomal RNA is filed under the name uncultured Acidobacteriota bacterium. RNAcentral's name for it is "SSU rRNA". It matches the Rfam family "Bacterial small subunit ribosomal RNA", at positions 242 to 869 of the family's 1533-position model. Lineage: Bacteria; Pseudomonadati; Acidobacteriota. The record is from RNAcentral.
CAGCUAGUUGGCAGGGUAAAAGCCUACCAAGGCAUAGAUCGGUAGCCGGCCUGAGAGGGCACACGGCCACACUGGCACUGAAACACGGGCCAGACUCCUACGGGAGGCAGCAGUGGGGAAUCUUGCACAAUGGGGGCAACCCUGAUGCAGCGACGCCGCGUGAGCGAUGAAGCCCUUCGGGGUGUAAAGCUCUUUCGUCAGGGACGAUAAUGACGGUACCUGGAGAAGCAGCUGCGGCUAACUACGUGCCAGCAGCCGCGGUAAUACGUAGGCAGCGAGCGUUGUUCGGAGUUACUGGGCGUAAAGGGUGUGUAGGCGGUUUUCUAAGUUUGGUGUGAAAUCUCCCGGCUCAACCGGGAGGGUGCGCCGAAAACUGGGAGACUAGAGUGCGGGAUGGGAGAGUAGAAUUCCUGGUGUAGCGGUGAAAUGCGUAGAUAUCAGGAGGAACACCGGUGGUGUAGACGGCUCUCUGGACCGCCACUGACGCUGAGACACGAAAGCGUGGGUAGCAAACAGGAUUAGAUACCCUGGUAGUCCACGCCCUAAACGAUGCAUAUUUGGUGUAGGUCAUUCAGUUGAUCUGUGCCGGAGCUAACGCGUUAAAUAUGC